GCACGGGAAGGGCGUAGGGCCCCCCCCGGUGCCGACCGAGGCCGGGCGGCCGGAGGGGGGCCGAAGCGCGGCGAACGGAGCGGGCGUGGAAGCGACGCCGCCGCUGCCGGCCGGACGGCCCCGCAACGCGGCAGGCGCCGAAGCCCCACCGUAAUGAUCCUUCCGCAGGUUCACCCACGGAAACCUUGUUACGACUUUUACUUCCUCUAGAUAGUCAAGUUCGACCGCCUUCGACACCGGCAGGGCCGUGCCGGCACCGGGCCGGGCCGAUCCGAGGACCUCACUAAACCAUCCAAUCGGUAGUAGCGACGGGCGGUGUGUACAAAGGGCAGGGACUUAAUCAACGCUGAGCUUAUGACCCGCGACUUACUGGGAAUUCCUCGCUCACGGGAAGAAUUGUAAUCCCCGAUCCCCAUCACGAAUGGGGUUCAACGGGCUACCCGCGCUUCGCCGGGCGGAGGGUAGGCACAAGCUGAGCCAGUCAGUGUAGCGCGCGGCGCCCCGACAUCUAAGGGCAUCACAGACCUGUUAUUGCUCACCUCGGGUGGCUGAACGCCACUUGUCCUCUAAGAAGUUGGACGCCGACCGCCGGGGUCGCUGCGAACUAGUUAGCAUGCCAGAGUCUCGCUCGCUAUCGGAAUUAACCAGACAAAUCGCUCCACCAACUAAGAACGGCCAUGCACCACCACCCACGGAAUCGAGAAAGAGCUCUCAAUCUGUCAAUCCUGUCCGCGUCCGGGCCGGGUGAGGUUUCCCGUGUUGUCAAAUUAAGCCGCAGGCUCCACUCCUGGUGGUGCCCUUCCGCCAAUUCCUUUAAGUUUCAGCUUUGCAACCAUACCCCCCGGAACCCAAAGACUUGGGUCUCCGGAGCUGCCCGGGCGGUCAUGGGAAUAACGCCGCCGGAUCGCCAGUCGGCAUCGCUUAUGGUCGGAACUACGACGGUAUCUGAUCGCCUCAACCUCCCCGACUUCGCUCUUGAUUAAUGAAAAACAUUCUUGGCAAAUGCUUUCGCUCUAGGCUGCCUUGCGCCGGGUCCAAGAAUUUCACCUCUAGCGGCACAAUACGUAAUGCCCCCGCCGCCCCUCUUAAUCAUGGCCCCGCUUCCUAAAACCAACAAAAUAGAACCGAGUCCUAUUCCAUUAUUCCUAGCUGCAGCACGCCGGGCGGCCGCCUGCUUUUGAACACUCUAAUUUUCUCAAGUAAACGCUUCGGGCCCCGCUGGGACACUCAGCUAAGAGCAUCGAGGGGGGCCGAGAGGCAGGGGCUGGGACAGGCGGUGGCUCGCCACGGGCGGACCGCCAGCUCGAUCCCAAGAUCCAACUACGAGCUUUUUAACUGCAGCAACUUUAAGAUACGCUUAUUGGAGCUGGAAUUACCGCUGCUGCUGGCACCAGACUUGCCCUCCAAUGGAUCCUCGCCAAGGAUUUAAAGUGCGCCAUUCCAAUUACAGGGCCUCAAAGAGUCCUGUAUUGUUAUUUUUCGCCACUACCUCCCCGGUCGGGAGUGGGUAAUUUGCGCCGCUUCGCUGCCUUCCUUGGAUGUGGUAGCCGCUUUCAGGCUCCCUCCGAAUCGAACCCUGAUUCCCCGCCACCCGUGGUCACCAUGGUAGGCACAGACAGUACCAUCGAAAGUUGAUAGGGCAGACAUUCGAACGGUCGCCGCCGCCGCCGGGGCGCGGCGAUCGCUCGAGGUUAUCUAGAGUCACUAAAGCUGCCGGGCGGGCCCGGGUUGGUUUUGGCCCGAUAAAUGCACGCUGCCCCCGGAGGUCGGCGCCGCCGGCAUGUAUUAGCUCUAGAAUUACCACAGUUAUCCAAGGAGCGGGAGAGGAGCCACCAAAGGAACCAUAACUGAUUUAAUGAGCCAUUCGCGAGUUUCACUGUACCGCCUGUGUACUUUAGACAUGCAUGGCUUAAGCUUUGAGACAAGCAUAUGCUACUGGCAGGAUCAACCAGGUAGCCGCUACCUCCACGGGCGGCGCCGCCAAGGAUUUAUAACGGCGUCCGACGCGCCCGCCCGCUGGCGAACGCUGCGGCUUCGCUGGAAGCCCGACCGCCUCUGCGGCUUCGCCGCCCG
RNAcentral lists this ribosomal RNA (2073 nucleotides) under Camarhynchus parvulus. RNAcentral describes it as "lncRNA (ENSCPVG00000017842.1)". Lineage: Eukaryota; Metazoa; Chordata; Aves; Passeriformes; Thraupidae. The record is from RNAcentral.